RNAcentral lists this ribosomal RNA (497 nucleotides) under uncultured bacterium. RNAcentral describes it as "partial 16S ribosomal RNA". It matches the Rfam family "Bacterial small subunit ribosomal RNA", at positions 28 to 507 of the family's 1533-position model. The record is from RNAcentral.
GAUGAACGCUGGCGGCGUGCCUAAUACAUGCGAGUCGAGCGAACAGAUGAGGAGCUUGCUCCUCUGACGUUAGCGGCGGACGGGUGAGUAACACGUGGAUAACCUACCUAUAAGACUGGGAUAACUUCGGGAAACCGGAGCUAAUACCGGAUAAUAUAUUGAACCGCAUGGUUCAAUAGUGAAAGACGGUUUUGCUGUCACUUAUAGAUGGAUCCGCGCCGCAUUAGCUAGUUGGUAAGGUAACGGCUUACCAAGGCAACGAUGCGUAGCCGACCUGAGAGGGUGAUCGGUCACACUGGAACUGAGACACGGUCCAGACUCCUACGGGAGGCAGCAGUAGGGAAUCUUCCGCAAUGGGCGAAAGCCUGACGGAGCAACGCCGCGUGAGUGAUGAAGGUCUUCGGAUCGUAAAACUCUGUUAUUAGGGAAGAACAAAUGUGUAAGUAACUAUGCACGUCUUGACGGUACCUAAUCAGAAAGCCACGGCUAACUACGUG